UGGCAACGCUAUUGUCAAGCAGCUGGUGAGUACUUUUUUGUGAGUUUCCACUCAAUAUAUAUUUGUAGAUAGCUAUGCUUACCAAUGUUACUACUGUGAACUGUAGGAUGAUCUCAAUUGCCAAUGUUGUUCCAUUAUGGUGUGUUUCAAUAUUUCUUUUGUUGUUUCAUCUGUUCCUAAUUUCAUUAUUAGAGAUGUGCUAGUCCAACUAUAUGUGCUUCGAUAUAUCUGGAGAUUCUCUUGGUAUCAGGGGUGAAACCUGAUGACAUAUGUUCCCAAGUUGGUUUAUGUUCCGCCAAAAGGAUUCAAUCUAAGAGAUUCCAUCAAGCUUGAAGAAGGUCUUCCACCCAAUAAUAUUUUGUGCAACAUUUGCAGAGCUAGCAACAAUUGUUUCAGAGUUUCUUUCUGAGUAGAGCUUGAUUAUGUUUUAGGUGUAAAUUAUAGUUUAGUUAAUAUUCAAUUCUAUAUUGUACAAGGGCCGGUUUGUUUUGAACUCUAUUUAUAAAGUCUUUCAAUAAAAUUUUUAUGUUUUAAUUA
Molecule: long non-coding RNA, 537 nt
Organism: Vigna angularis (adzuki bean)
Lineage: Eukaryota; Viridiplantae; Streptophyta; Magnoliopsida; Fabales; Fabaceae
Exons: 3
Source: RefSeq, a predicted model, not a curated record